GACGAACGCUGGCGGCGUGCCUAAUACAUGCAAGUCGAGCGAAGUUUUUCUGGUGCUUGCACCGGAAAAACUUAGCGGCGAACGGGUGAGUAACACGUAUAGAACCUGCCUCAUAGACUGGGACAACUAUUGGAAACGAUAGCUAAUACCGUAUAACAGCAUUAACUGCAUGGUUGAUGUUUAAAAGUUGGUUUUGCUAACACUAUGAUAUGGCUUUGCGGUGCAUUAGCUAGUUGGUGGGGUAAAGGCCUACCAAGGCGACGAUGCAUAGCCGACCUGAGAGGGUGAUCGGCCACACUGGGACUGAGACACGGCCCAGACUCCUACGGGAGGCAGCAGUAGGGAAUCUUCCGCAAUGGGCGAAAGCCUGACGGAGCAACGCCGCGUGAGUGAAGAAGGAUUUCGGUUCGUAAAGCUCUGUUGUUAGGGAAGAAUGAUUGUGUAGUAACUAUACACAGUAGAGACGGUACCUAACCAGAAAGCCACGGCUAACUACGUG
This 499-nucleotide ribosomal RNA is filed under the name uncultured bacterium. Its description in RNAcentral is "partial 16S ribosomal RNA". It matches the Rfam family "Bacterial small subunit ribosomal RNA", at positions 28 to 507 of the family's 1533-position model. The record is from RNAcentral.